RNAcentral lists this ribosomal RNA (492 nucleotides) under uncultured bacterium. Its description in RNAcentral is "partial 16S ribosomal RNA". It matches the Rfam family "Bacterial small subunit ribosomal RNA", at positions 29 to 507 of the family's 1533-position model. The record is from RNAcentral.
AGUGAACGCUGGCGGUAGGCCUAACACAUGCAAGUCGAACGGCAGCACAGUAAGAGCUUGCUCUUACGGGUGGCGAGUGGCGGACGGGUGAGGAAUACAUCGGAAUCUACUUUUUUGUGGGGGAUAACGUAGGGAAACUUACGCUAAUACCGCAUACGACCUACGGGUGAAAGCAGGGGAUCUUCGGACCUUGCGCGAUUGAAUGAGCCGAUGUCGGAUUAGCUAGUUGGCGGGGUAAAGGCCCACCAAGGCGACGAUCCGUAGCUGGUCUGAGAGGAUGAUCAACCACACUGGAACUGAGACACGGUCCAGACUCCUACGGGAGGCAGCAGUGGGGAAUAUUGGACAAUGGGCGCAAGCCUGAUCCAGCCAUACCGCGUGGGUGAAGAAGGCCUUCGGGUUGUAAAGCCCUUUUGUUGGGAAAGAAAAGCAGCAGGUUAAUACCCCGCUGUUCUGACGGUACCCAAAGAAUAAGCACCGGCUAACUUCGUG